This 29-nucleotide non-coding RNA is filed under the name Mus musculus (house mouse). The record is from RNAcentral. Lineage: Eukaryota; Metazoa; Chordata; Mammalia; Rodentia; Muridae.
UUUCCAAGUGUCUAUUUCCUAAGCUAUGG